UCUCUCUCGUUUUCGCAUCUCCUUCUCUUCCCGAAUUCCACUCCAUUGAAGCAGCUCGCUCUCUCUCCAUUGAAGUGGUUUACGAGCUUUCUCACUCCACUGAAGCAGCACCUCCUUCUCUCUCCAUAUCUCUGGCCUCCAUUGAACUCACGCGUGCUCUAUAUUCUCCAUUGAAGCCGAUUCUGAGCUUUCUCACCUCUAUUGAAGCAGCUUCGAGGGUUUGUCAUUGAAGCGCGCACGGCUACACCUCCACCACAACGGCCCCCUUGUCACGGCGGCACGACCUCGAACAGUGAACCUGGUGUCUGAAUCCAACAAUCAUCUCAUUUCAUCUUGGGAUUCUGUUGUCUCUUUAGGUUCUAGGAAGAAUCUCUGCAUCAAUCAAGAGGUGCUGAAGAUUGGUAACCCUGCUAGUAUCAAUGAACGUUGUUUGGAGCUGCACAAUAGUAAGAAAAGUGGAGGUUCAAAGAUCAAGGUUUUCAAAGGCAGAAAGAUGGCUGGGCGCAUGGGUGGCAAACAGCGGACAGUGAAAAUCGGUGGGAAAAGAAAUGGGCGGGAUUGGAAUUAUACAGAGAAGUUCAUAGGUGAACUUUUAAUCAAGUAGACAGAUUAUUAUUCAUUCAGAUUGGACCAUCAGAUCACAUGUUCUUACAAAGCAAGGAGUUCUAACAUGGGUUUACAAAGCAAAGCAAUGCAAGCAGUAGCAGAAUAGCAAUAGCAGAACAGCAAGCAGAACACAAAGUAGCAGAAGCAGAACAAUAGUAGCAGAAGCAGUAGCAGAACAGCAGUACCAGUAGCAGAAGCAGAACAGCAGUAGUUAUGAUAUCCUGGAUGUGAUAGUUCUUAGAGUUAUCGGAGGUGUUCUGGGCAGCUUUUAUAAUUAUCUUGUUGACAUGCACUAUCGUUCACAACGUUGUAGCACCAGGCCCAGCAAAACAGCUAUAUGUUUUUUUUUUCAGUUUUUAAAGUGUAAUAUUACAAGUUAUUGAGACAAAUAUAUGUG
RNA transcript from Chenopodium quinoa (quinoa), 1003 nucleotides. It is a transcript of the gene named ATP-dependent DNA helicase DDX11-like, with no coding region annotated. The record is from RefSeq and is a predicted model, not a curated record. The transcript has 7 exons. NCBI's taxonomy places the organism in Eukaryota, Viridiplantae, Streptophyta, Magnoliopsida, Caryophyllales, Amaranthaceae.